GACGAACGCUGGCGGCGUGCUUAACACAUGCAAGUCGAACGGAAAGGCCCUGCUUUUGUGGGGUGCUCGAGUGGCGAACGGGUGAGUAACACGUGAGUAACCUGCCCUUGACUUUGGGAUAACUUCAGGAAACUGGGGCUAAUACCGGAUAGGAGCUCCUGCUGCAUGGUGGGGGUUGGAAAGUUUCGGCGGUUGGGGAUGGACUCGCGGCUUAUCAGCUUGUUGGUGGGGUAGUGGCUUACCAAGGCUUUGACGGGUAGCCGGCCUGAGAGGGUGACCGGCCACCUUGGGACUGGGAUACGGCCCCGACUCCUACGGGAGGCAGCAGUGGGGAAUAUUGCACAAUGGGCGGAAGCCUGAUGCAGCAACGCCGCGUGCGGGAUGACGGCCUUCGGGUUGUAAACCGCUUUCGCCUGUGACGAAGCGUGAGUGACGGUAAUGGGUAAAGAAGCACCGGCUAACUACGUG
Molecule: ribosomal RNA, 468 nt
Filed under: uncultured bacterium
Lineage: Bacteria
Description: partial 16S ribosomal RNA
Rfam family: Bacterial small subunit ribosomal RNA
Source: RNAcentral